UGGAAAGGCGCGCGAUACAGGGUGACAGCCCCGUACACAAAAAUGCACAUGCUGUGAGCUCGAUGAGUAGGGCGGGACACGUGGUAUCCUGUCUGAAUAUGGGGGGACCAUCCUCCAAGGCUAAAUACUCCUGACUGACCGAUAGUGAACCAGUACCGUGAGGGAAAGGCGAAAAGAACCCCGGCGAGGGGAGUGAAAAAGAACCUGAAACCGUGUACGUACAAGCAGUGGGAGCACGCUUAGGCGUGUGACUGCGUACCUUUUGUAUAAUGGGUCAGCGACUUAUAUUCUGUAGCAAGGUUAACCGAAUAGGGGAGCCGAAGGGAAACCGAGUCUUAACUGGGCGUUAAGUUGCAGGGUAUAGACCCGAAACCCGGUGAUCUAGCCAUGGGCAGGUUGAAGGUUGGGUAACACUAACUGGAGGACCGAACCGACUAAUGUUGAAAAAUUAGCGGAUGACUUGUGGCUGGGGGUGAAAGGCCAAUCAAACCGGGAGAUAGCUGGUUCUCCCCGAAAGCUAUUUAGGUAGCGCCUCGUGAAUUCAUCUCCGGGGGUAGAGCACUGUUUCGGCAAGGGGGUCAUCCCGACUUACCAACCCGAUGCAAACUGCGAAUACCGGAGAAUGUUAUCACGGGAGACACACGGCGGGUGCUAACGUCCGUCGUGAAGAGGGAAACAACCCAGACCGCCAGCUAAGGUCCCAAAGUCAUGGUUAAGUGGGAAACGAUGUGGGAAGGCCCAGACAGCCAGGAUGUUGGCUUAGAAGCAGCCAUCAUUUAAAGAAAGCGUAAUAGCUCACUGGUCGAGUCGGCCUGCGCGGAAGAUGUAACGGGGCUAAACCAUGCACCGAAGCUGCGGCAGCGACGCUUAUGCGUUGUUGGGUAGGGGAGCGUUCUGUAAGCCUGCGAAGGUGUGCUGUGAGGCAUGCUGGAGGUAUCAGAAGUGCGAAUGCUGACAUAAGUAACGAUAAAGCGGGUGAAAAGCCCGCUCGCCGGAAGACCAAGGGUUCCUGUCCAACGUUAAUCGGGGCAGGGUGAGUCGACCCCUAAGGCGAGGCCGAAAGGCGUAGUCGAUGGGAAACAGGUUAAUAUUCCUGUACUUGGUGUUACUGCGAAGGGGGGACGGAGAAGGCUAUGUUGGCCGGGCGACGGUUGUCCCGGUUUAAGCGUGUAGGCUGGUUUUCCAGGCAAAUCCGGAAAAUCAAGGCUGAGGCGUGAUGACGAGGCACUACGGUGCUGAAGCAACAAAUGCCCUGCUUCCAGGAAAAGCCUCUAAGCAUCAGGUAACAUCAAAUCGUACCCCAAACCGACACAGGUGGUCAGGUAGAGAAUACCAAGGCGCUUGAGAGAACUCGGGUGAAGGAACUAGGCAAAAUGGUGCCGUAACU
RNAcentral lists this ribosomal RNA (1387 nucleotides) under Escherichia coli. RNAcentral's name for it is "partial 23S ribosomal RNA". It matches the Rfam family "Bacterial large subunit ribosomal RNA", at positions 343 to 1735 of the family's 2925-position model. The record is from RNAcentral. Lineage: Bacteria; Pseudomonadati; Pseudomonadota; Gammaproteobacteria; Enterobacterales; Enterobacteriaceae.